RNAcentral lists this ribosomal RNA (519 nucleotides) under uncultured eukaryote. RNAcentral describes it as "SSU rRNA". It matches the Rfam family "Eukaryotic small subunit ribosomal RNA", at positions 1161 to 1703 of the family's 1831-position model. The record is from RNAcentral.
AGGGCACCACCAGGAGUGGGGCCUGCGGCUUAAUUUGACUCAACACGGGAAAUCUCACCAGGCCCGGACACCGGAAGGAUUGACAGAUUGAGAGCUCUUUCUUGAUUCGGUGGGUGGUGGUGCAUGGCCGUUCUUAGUUGGUGGAGCGAUUUGUCUGGUUAAUUCCGAUAACGAACGAGACUCUGGCCUACUAACUAGACGAUAUAUCCUUUAUGGGUUUAUCGCAGCUUCUUAGAGGGACGGGCGGCGUUUAGCCGCACGAGAAUGAGCAAUAACAGGUCUGUGAUGCCCUUAGAUGUUCUGGGCUGCACGCGCGCUACACUGAAGAAAUCAGCGUGUGCUCCCUACCCGAAAGGGUUGGGAAACCCGUUGAACCUUCUUCGUGAUGGGGAUUGGAGAUUGCAAUUAUUCUCCAUGAACGAGGAAUUCCCAGUAGGCGCGAGUCAUAAGCUUGCGUCGAUUACGUCCCUGCCCUUUGUACACACCGCCCGUCGCUACUACCGAUCGAGUGAUUUAGUG